GCAAGAGUAGUCAAGCCUGGCCAACGACGCUAGAUUCAGGGUCUAGUCCUUAGCGGUCCAUGGGUUCAAAUCCCACCUCUUGCACCA
This 87-nucleotide transfer RNA is filed under the name Thermoplasmatales archaeon BRNA1. RNAcentral's name for it is "tRNA-Leu (CAG) (tRNA-Leu-CAG-1-1)". It matches the Rfam family "tRNA". Rfam says of the family: Transfer RNA (tRNA) molecules are approximately 80 nucleotides in length. Their secondary structure includes four short double-helical elements and three loops (D, anti-codon, and T loops). Further hydrogen bonds mediate the characteristic L-shaped molecular structure. tRNAs have two regions of fundamental functional importance: the anti-codon, which is responsible for specific mRNA codon recognition, and the 3' end, to which the tRNAs corresponding amino acid is attached (by aminoacyl-tRNA synthetases). tRNAs cope with the degeneracy of the genetic code in two manners: having more than one tRNA (with a specific anti-codon) for a particular amino acid; and 'wobble' base-pairing, i.e. permitting non-standard base-pairing at the 3rd anti-codon position. The record is from RNAcentral. Lineage: Archaea; Methanobacteriati; Thermoplasmatota; Thermoplasmata; Thermoplasmatales.